This is a long non-coding RNA of Gallus gallus (chicken), 1180 nucleotides long. RefSeq lists it as uncharacterized. Lineage: Eukaryota; Metazoa; Chordata; Aves; Galliformes; Phasianidae. The transcript has 2 exons. The record is from RefSeq and is a predicted model, not a curated record.
UUCAACUCCACAUCUUUGUUUCAUAUGCUCUUCCAUUCCAGAUGCCAUCAUGGCAGACUGCCCCUCUGCUAUCAUCUGUCACAUAGUAACAACAUGGAAUGGAAUGGAAUGGAAUGGAAUGUUAUGGAAUGGAAUGGAAUAUUGGUGGGAAGGCUCAACCUCUGCUGCCAUACCACCAGUAUUCACCCCUGAGGUUGUGGGCUAGUGUAAUAAAAUAUGUUUUAUAGGCAGGCGUUACUUUCAGAGCAGCCCUCAUACACCUCUGCUGGACAGUCCACAUAGUAGGACAGAUCUCUGCAGAGCUUUAUUGGCAACUUUCCUCCACUGCAGGAGUUAACCAUUAACUCAUCCCUCCCCACUCACAGUCCCUUUCCUAUUUAUUAAUAAUCAAUCAGGCUUUACUAAUUAAGUCAUUCUUUCAAGCCUAAGCUUCUUCUAAAAGUGUCUGAGACAUAAUGAGAAGCCCUUUGAAAAUCCAGUAAACUCGUAUUAGCUAGAUUUUAUUGCUUACUGAUCUCUUUCAAGCAAUUUAAAACACUUCAAAAAGCCUUUCUCAGAUAAAGUAGAAUAAAACCAAAGUUUGCGGUGCAUUUAAAAUAAUGUGUAAUGUGAGGCAAUCCAGUAGUAAGCAGAUGCUUCAUGCAGAAGAAGAUAUUUAGUAAGUAUGCAAUAUUUGUAAUAUGUAUGUAAGCCAGAAGACACUGUUCAGACUGCUGGGUUACCUCUGCUGUGUUAAUUACUUGCAAUAAAAGACUUUACAUCUUUAGCUAAGGUCUUAACAUCCAGAUGAAUUCAUUAUGCAAGCUGUGCAGUAAUAACUCUAUAUCUAAAUACACAGUCAAUUCUUUAUUCUGUGGGGGCAAUCUAUAUAUAUGUGUUGGUAAUGAGAUAAACACGAGUAGAUACAAACUGAUUUUGUAUACAAAGUAGUUCAGAUAUAUACAAGACCACAUCAGUAAGCUUAUGAAUUAUUUAUUCUCCAGUGUCUUUAAUCGUCUGUGCAUUGCAAGCCACCCAACGUGAUACUUGAGCUUCUUUUUUUCAGCUGAGAUUGCUUCCAAUCAAGAUGCUGGAAUACUACCACUGAAUAGGCAUUUCAGCAGAGUUAAGAAGCUUGACUUCCAUUUUCAACUUCAGAUAUUAACAUCUAUGAGAGAACUAAAAACCAUGCAACCUCUAA